CCUACGGGAGGCAGCAGUGGGGAAUUUUCCGCAAUGGGCGAAAGCCUGACGGAGCAACGCCGCGUGGAUGAUGAAGUCUUUCGGGACGUAAAAUCCUUUCAGCAGGGACGCGGUACCUGCAGAAGAAGCAUCGGCUAACUACGUGCCAGCAGCCGCGGUAAUACGUAGGAUGCGAGCGUUGUCCGGAAUUAUUGGGCGUAAAGCGAACGUAGGCGGUUUCUUAAGUUUGGUCUUAAAGACUGAGGCUCAACCUCAGGAGUGGACUGAAAACUGGGAGACUGGAGGAUGUCAGAGGAAAGUGGAAUUCCGAGUGUAGCGGUGAAAUGCGUAGAUAUUCGGAGGAACACCAGUGGCGAAAGCGACUUUCUGGGGCAUCCUGACGCUGAGGUUCGAAAGCUCGGGGAGCAAACAGGAUUAGAUACCCUUGUAGUC
RNAcentral lists this ribosomal RNA (432 nucleotides) under uncultured bacterium. RNAcentral's name for it is "partial 16S ribosomal RNA". It matches the Rfam family "Bacterial small subunit ribosomal RNA", at positions 338 to 795 of the family's 1533-position model. The record is from RNAcentral.